Molecule: ribosomal RNA, 1372 nt
Filed under: uncultured bacterium
Lineage: Bacteria
Description: bacterial SSU rRNA
Rfam family: Bacterial small subunit ribosomal RNA
Source: RNAcentral
GAUGAACGCUGGCGGCGUGCCUAAUACAUGCAAGUCGAGCGAACGGACGAGAAGCUUGCUUCUCUGAUGUUAGCGGCGGACGGGUGAGUAACACGUGGAUAACCUACCUAUAAGACUGGGAUAACUUCGGGAAACCGGAGCUAAUACCGGAUAAUAUUUUGAACCGCAUGGUUCAAAAGUGAAAGACGGUCUUGCUGUCACUUAUAGAUGGAUCCGCGCUGCAUUAGCUAGUUGGUAAGGUAACGGCUUACCAAGGCAACGAUGCAUAGCCGACCUGAGAGGGUGAUCGGCCACACUGGAACUGAGACACGGUCCAGACUCCUACGGGAGGCAGCAGUAGGGAAUCUUCCGCAAUGGGCGAAAGCCUGACGGAGCAACGCCGCGUGAGUGAUGAAGGUCUUCGGAUCGUAAAACUCUGUUAUUAGGGAAGAACAUAUGUGUAAGUAACUGUGCACAUCUUGACGGUACCUAAUCAGAAAGCCACGGCUAACUACGUGCCAGCAGCCGCGGUAAUACGUAGGUGGCAAGCGUUAUCCGGAAUUUUUGGGCGUAAAGCGCGCGUAGGCGGUUUUUUAAGUCUGAUGUGAAAGCCCACGGCUCAACCGUGGAGGGUCAUUGGAAACUGGAAAACUUGAGUGCAGAAGAGGAAAGUGGAAUUCCAUGUGUAGCGGUGAAAUGCGCAGAGAUAUGGAGGAACACCAGUGGCGAAGGCGACUUUCUGGUCUGUAACUGACGCUGAUGUGCGAAAGCGUGGGGAUCGAACAGGAUUAGAUACCCUGGUAGUCCACGCCGUAAACGAUGAGUGCUAAGUGUUAGGGGGUUUCCGCCCCUUAGUGCUGCAGCUAACGCAUUAAGCACUCCGCCUGGGGAGUACGACCGCAAGGUUGAAACUCAAAGGAAUUGACGGGGACCCGCACAAGCGGUGGAGCAUGUGGUUUAAUUCGAAGCAACGCGAAGAACCUUACCAAAUCUUGACAUCCUUUGACAACUCUAGAGAUAGAGCCUUCCCCUUCGGGGGACAAAGUGACAGGUGGUGCAUGGUUGUCGUCAGCUCGUGUCGUGAGAUGUUGGGUUAAGUCCCGCAACGAGCGCAACCCUUAAGCUUAGUUGCCAUCAUUAAGUUGGGCACUCUAAGUUGACUGCCGGUGACAAACCGGAGGAAGGUGGGGAUGACGUCAAAUCAUCAUGCCCCUUAUGAUUUGGGCUACACACGUGCUACAAUGGACAAUACAAAGGGCAGCGAAACCGCGAGGUCAAGCAAAUCCCAUAAAGUUGUUCUCAGUUCGGAUUGUAGUCUGCAACUCGACUACAUGAAGCUGGAAUCGCUAGUAAUCGUAGAUCAGCAUGCUACGGUGAAUACGUUCCCGGGUCU